This 446-nucleotide ribosomal RNA is filed under the name uncultured bacterium. RNAcentral describes it as "bacterial SSU rRNA". It matches the Rfam family "Bacterial small subunit ribosomal RNA", at positions 329 to 792 of the family's 1533-position model. The record is from RNAcentral.
UUCCAGACUCCUACGGGAGGCAGCAGUGGGGGAUAUUGCACAAUGGGGGAAACCCUGAUGCAGCGACGCCGCGUGAGUGAAGAAGUAUUUCGGUAUGUAAAGCUCUAUCAGCAGGGAAGAAGAUGACAGUACCUGAGUAAGAAGCCCCGGCUAACUACGUGCCAGCAGCCGCGGUAAUACGUAGGGGGCAAGCGUUAUCCGGAUUUACUGGGUGUAAAGGGAGCGUAGACGGUUAUGUAAGUCUGGAGUGAAAGCCCGGGGCCCAACCCCGGGACUGCUUUGGAAACUGUGUAACUAGAGUACAGGAGGGGCAGGCGGAAUUCCCGGUGUAGCGGUGAAAUGCAUAGAUAUCACGCAGAACUCCGAUUGCGAAGGCAGCAUACCGGCGCCCAACUGACGCUGAAGCACGAAAGCGUGGGUAUCGAACAGGAUUAGAUACCCCUGUA